This 432-nucleotide ribosomal RNA is filed under the name uncultured bacterium. Its description in RNAcentral is "partial 16S ribosomal RNA". It matches the Rfam family "Bacterial small subunit ribosomal RNA", at positions 29 to 506 of the family's 1533-position model. The record is from RNAcentral.
AACGAACGCUGGCGGCAUGCCUAACACAUGCAAGUCGAACGAGACCUUCGGGUCUAGUGGCGCACGGGUGCGUAACGCGUGGGAACCUGCCCUUAGGUUCGGAAUAACUCCCCGAAAGGGGUGCUAAUACCGGAUAAUGUCUUCGGACCAAAGAUUUAUCGCCUUUGGAUGGGCCCGCGUUGGAUUAGCUAGUUGGUAGGGUAAAAGCCUACCAAGGCGACGAUCCAUAGCUGGUCUGAGAGGAUGAUCAGCCACACUGGGACUGGGACACGGCCCAGACUCCUACGGGAGGCAGCAGUGGGGAAUAUUGGACAAUGGGCGAAAGCCUGAUCCAGCAAUGCCGCGUGAGUGAUGAAGGCCUUAGGGUUGUAAAGCUCUUUUACCCGGGAUGAUAAUGACAGUACCGGGAGAAUAAGCUCCGGCUAACUCCGU